This 30-nucleotide non-coding RNA is filed under the name Homo sapiens (human). Lineage: Eukaryota; Metazoa; Chordata; Mammalia; Primates; Hominidae. The record is from RNAcentral.
UCUGGUUCAUCAGCUGGGACUUGUUCUUGC